GUCGACGUGGCCGAGUGGUCUAAGGCGUUGGUUUUGAACACCAAUAUGUUUACAUGCGCAGGUUCGAAUCCUGUCGUCGACG
This 82-nucleotide transfer RNA is filed under the name Enterocytozoon bieneusi H348. RNAcentral's name for it is "tRNA-Ser (TGA) (tRNA-Ser-TGA-1-1)". It matches the Rfam family "tRNA". From Rfam's summary of the family: Transfer RNA (tRNA) molecules are approximately 80 nucleotides in length. Lineage: Eukaryota; Fungi; Microsporidia; Enterocytozoonidae. The record is from Rfam by way of RNAcentral.